UGGUGGAGUGAUUUGUCUGGUUAAUUCCGAUAACGAACGAGACCUUAACCUGCUAAAUAGUACUGCGAAUGUAAAUUUGUGUUGUUACUUCUUAGAGGGACUUUGGAUGUUUAAUCCAAGGAAGUUUGAGGCAAUAACA
Molecule: ribosomal RNA, 139 nt
Filed under: uncultured eukaryote
Lineage: Eukaryota
Description: partial 18S ribosomal RNA
Rfam family: Eukaryotic small subunit ribosomal RNA
Source: RNAcentral